UACGGAGGGUGCAAGCGUUAAUCGGAAUUACUGGGCGUAAAGCGUGCGCAGGCGGUUUUGUAAGUCUGACGUGAAAUCCCCGGGCUCAACCUGGGAAUUGCGAUGGAGACUGCAAGGCUUGAAUCUGGCAGAGGGGGGUAGAAUUCCACGUGUAGCAGUGAAAUGCGUAGAGAUGUGGAGGAACACCGAUGGCGAAGGCAGCCCCCUGGGUCAAGAUUGACGCUCAUGCACGAAAGCGUGGGGAGCAAACAGG
RNAcentral lists this ribosomal RNA (253 nucleotides) under uncultured bacterium. Its description in RNAcentral is "partial 16S ribosomal RNA". It matches the Rfam family "Bacterial small subunit ribosomal RNA", at positions 524 to 776 of the family's 1533-position model. The record is from RNAcentral.